RNAcentral lists this unclassified non-coding RNA (277 nucleotides) under Hevea brasiliensis (rubber tree). The record is from RNAcentral. Lineage: Eukaryota; Viridiplantae; Streptophyta; Magnoliopsida; Malpighiales; Euphorbiaceae.
GGCAUAGUAGCAGUAUCAAGGAACGAUCUUGAAUCAGGAACCUGAACAAAUAACUGAUUCUUUCGAGGAUCUUUUCGUUUCCUCUUUACCUUCAAUUCAGCAACCUUUCUCUUCAACGUCUCGCUAGGGCCAUAUUCACGAGACAAUGUAUGAACUUGUCUAUAGAAUUUGUGAAUACCCAACAUGAUUUACAUAUAGUGUGUGUAGGAGAUCAAAGGAUUCUGUUGUUUGCUGAAUGAUGUAUGUGGUGGGAGUCGUAGUUGAGUAUAUCUUCUGU